UGGCGCGUAGCUCAAUGGCAGAGCGGACGGUUGUUACCCGGACGGUUGCUGGUUCGAAUCCAGCCGUGUCAG
Molecule: transfer RNA, 72 nt
Filed under: Streptomyces griseofuscus
Lineage: Bacteria; Bacillati; Actinomycetota; Actinomycetes; Kitasatosporales; Streptomycetaceae
Description: tRNA-Asn
Rfam family: tRNA
About the family: Transfer RNA (tRNA) molecules are approximately 80 nucleotides in length. Their secondary structure includes four short double-helical elements and three loops (D, anti-codon, and T loops). Further hydrogen bonds mediate the characteristic L-shaped molecular structure. tRNAs have two regions of fundamental functional importance: the anti-codon, which is responsible for specific mRNA codon recognition, and the 3' end, to which the tRNAs corresponding amino acid is attached (by aminoacyl-tRNA synthetases). tRNAs cope with the degeneracy of the genetic code in two manners: having more than one tRNA (with a specific anti-codon) for a particular amino acid; and 'wobble' base-pairing, i.e. permitting non-standard base-pairing at the 3rd anti-codon position.
Source: RNAcentral